Long non-coding RNA from Macrobrachium nipponense, 347 nucleotides. RefSeq lists it as uncharacterized. NCBI's taxonomy places the organism in Eukaryota, Metazoa, Arthropoda, Malacostraca, Decapoda, Palaemonidae. The record is from RefSeq and is a predicted model, not a curated record. The transcript has 6 exons.
AGAAUUAAUUGUGAAGACGCCUUGAUAUCACGAUGAAGUCUAUUCUCUUUGCUUUGGUCAUCUUCGCUGUGGCUAUGCAGGUAUUUUCGGAUAACUUACCCGUUAAGGUUGACGCAGGCAAGGAGAAAUUUCUCACUAGCCUGUUCAACAUAACCACCAUCGUGUGCAGUACUGUCGUAAAGCCAGUUCAGACUACACUGACCAGUCUGGUAUUCAAGUGCCCAGUGUAAGGUCCUACUUAUGAAUGGAGGAGUAAGAUCUGCUAGUCGACCAGCUGACAUUUAAUUGUAAUUCAGUACUUUGGCUUUGAUUCUUUUUUCUUCUUACUACAAUAAAAUGGAUUAAAC